GCGGCAUGCUCCCCAGCAAGAGAAGAUUUCUGAGUCCAAAUCAGGCUGACAGGCAUGCCUGGUGGAGGAGCAACGAAGACCGCUGAGCGUGCAUUGCCAGCAUUUUUAGGGGUCUCUGCUUCAGGCGGAAGUUCCAGAUCUUCUAGGUCCCAACCACCUUCCUCGCCAUCCUCCUCAUUUGCUUCACCCUCCUCAGCAUCAAAACCGUCACCACCAUUUGCCAUCGCUUCGCUUGCAUCAACCAUAUCCAGGUCCUCAUCACCCCAGUCAGCACCAGCAGCUUCAUCGUCUUCCUCAAGUUCAGCCUUCCCAGUAGCAUCCAGUCCACCCUCAAAGAUACCAUGCAUCACCCUAAGCAAUGGCCAAUCACCACUGGCUGUAAGAGGAGCAGGGGGGAUCAAAAGAGAGCGAGCUUUUCCUUCAGGAAGAGAAGGAAUAUUUUCACCCAGCUCAGCGGCAAGCCUAUCAGCAAUUUCUGUGAGCCCAUGGGUGGUAGCAGUAAUAUAAGCAAGAGGUAGCUGUCCAGCAUUCUCUAGGAUCUCAACUCUCUUCAACGCAUCACCAAGAUACAGAGCAUUGUGGAAUUGACCCAUCAGGUUAUUGUUCUGUCCAGCAAUUUUGCACAUGAAACCCACCUUGUCCAUGUAACCAGUAAUAAGAUAUAGGAAAGCAAGCCUCUCAAAAUUCUUCGUACGUUGGUAUGCAUAUUCCACAAUACCAACAUUUCCCUGCCUCAGGGCCUCAAUUCCCAACCUGUACCAGUGAUCCUUGUCAUCAAUCUCUUUUGCAGAAGCAACUGCGAUUUGGAUGUUACCACUCUCAAGAGCAAGGUUAAAUCUUGUCUUCUCAUCUUUCACAAAGUGGAGGGCAACUUCUGGAAAGCCUUUCUGUUGUAAAUAAGAAAUCACAGCUUGCCCACACAGCUGGGAAUUCUUGAUCAUACUCAUCACAUGAUCAUACCGUUUGCGUAGAAGGGCCAGCUUGAAAAUGUACUCAGAUGCAUCAACUGUGACCAGCUUGUUCUUACCAUCACGAUCUAGACAGAAUAUAUUGUUCCCAAUAACCCUUGUUAUGUAUAUAGGAACAUCGAGGGUUUUAAUAAUCCCACUAUCUCCAUUGGGAAGGCAAUACUUGAUAUGAUUCAGGGUAGUGUAAAUAAACACACCAUUCUCAUCCCAGGCACCACUUUUCACACGAAUGGUUUCGUGCAGUGUACAGCGAUGGACGAGCUUCUUGUUUGCUAUAACCACUGCAUGCUUGCUCAGCAGUGCGACAGAUUCCAUAUCACUAGACCAAACAACAUAUUUAACAGAAGGUGCCUGGAGCUCACCAAGAAUUAACCUUUGCUGCAGAUCAAAGAUGGUCACUCGGUCUUCGGCUUUGCACAGCAAGUUACCAGUCCCAGCAUAAUAAAUUGCAUCCGUGGCAAUAGGAAGAGGGCUUUUCUUUACGAUUUCAUUCUUAAGAUUCUUCACCAAAACUUGAUUGCUACUCUUCUCAAGGACUGCAAACCUGUUGCGUGCCACGAAAACAGCUGACCCACCAGCUCCCUUCUUUGCAUCCUGCAAAUAGUCAGCCCUGCCAGCAGAAUCCUUGGGAACAAUGUAGAGUUCGUAUGAGCCUCCAUCCACAUCAGAGCAAAUCAGGACAGCAUUUUCAGUUGGACUGUAAGAUAGUGUCUUGGGUGACUGGUUCAAGCUCACUGAUCCAGGUCUUCUUAUUGGAGCAAGCUGAACUUCCUUCUGUGUGGUGAAUUCAAAAAAACGAAGAAAACGGUCCUUCACAUAGAAAACAGUAUCUCCACUCACAGAGAAAGCUGGACGUUCCCUCUCCAAUUUAAACACAAUCAUACCACUGUCAUGACCAGCGGCAAGAAGAUUCAUCUCAGGGUGAGCAGAAAGAAUCCAGAAACGAUCAUGUUCCCGCCUGAACGUUUGAAUACCGGUUCGCUUUGUGGCAUCCCAGAUGCGAAUGCUUUUGUCCUCUGAGUUGGACACAAUGAUGUCUUGCUUAGCAUGGAACAUCACGCAUGACACAUUAUUCAUGUGUCCCCGCAAAGUAUCAACUUCCCAAGCCUUCGUGUCUGUCCAAAAAAAUAGCACAUUUAGAUUACAUUAAUUCAAAUACCUCAAUAGCGGUUUGCUGCAUAUGCAUAUAGUUUUGUGUUUGGCCAGUCUAGCAAUAUGCAGAAGAAUGAAGUGCUAUGCAACAAGAAUGACCACCUUUCAUUCCAACCAAAGUGACAAACUAGAGGUCAGGAGCUAGUUACUAAUUGAGUAAUUGUGAAGCAUGUUUCUUGCAUUCAGCUUGUUCGGUAAUUACUACUUCUGUGAAAGUAUGAUAAAUUGAAGAAAACAAAAGGAAUUCAUAAUAAAAUCAAAUCCAUAGUUUGUAGUAAUAAUAUAUGGAAGGACAAAUGAAUAAAAACACAAAUAUGCAAGCGUUUAUCCAUGGAAAAUGGUAAUAGAAAAGUUUAAGGCCUUGUAGCAGUAUUACCAUUCAUUCUCCAUAGCUUCACUUGUCGGUCAUCUGCCCCGGAAACAAUGAGUGGCAAUGUGGGGUGAAAUGAUGCCCAGUUCACCCCACGGUCAUGCCCUUCCAACACAUAUUUUACAACUGCAUCAACACCUCCAAACAGAUCUGUGUUCAUCUGGGUGAGACGCAGGAUGUCAUCUGCAGGUGACACCGUCUUCUUCCUCAAAGCACCAAUAUCCCAAACACGGACAGUCUGAUCCAGUGAUGCUGACACAACCAGGUCCUCCUUGGGAUGGAAUGAUGCGCACAUGACAUAGUGGUUAUGUCCAGUCAGCACAGCUACACAUGUGCGUGACUGCCAGUUCCAGAUCCGGAUUGUCUGGUCAUCACUAGCACUUACUAUCCAUGGGUAUUCGUGGUGGAAUUGCACGGUGCGAAUAUAGUCAAGGUGCCCGUGAAGUGUGAAGAGGCAGCGGUGUGUCUUGUAAUUCCACACCUUAAUCUUGUAAUCAUCACCUGCAAUGCAUCACAGAAAUCUUAGAAUAGUUCAGAAGUUCAACCAUUCCGCAUCCCAAUCAUAUUAGUCCACCGAGCAAUACGACCGGACACCAGUAUGACUUCGUUUCAAGUUUCAACAGAUCCCAAAGUCCAGGUUUCAACAAAUUCCAAAGGUCCAUGAUGGCACCUUGCCAUCGCUAACUUGCUACUUGUAUCAGAUUCACACUACAAAAGCUGAUUCUCUCUGGUUGAGGGCUACACAUCGACUCAUUCUACUUCCUAUCAUAUCUCUUCUACGGAAGGAUUGCAAAAUCGAUGGAGAUCCCGGUCAUAAAUAGAAACAAAAUGUCACAUGAAGGUUUCAAACUAACAAUUCACCAAACAGUUCAUCUUAAGCUAAGAGAAUAGAACCAGCACCAGAUCCAACCAACGAGGAUCACUUGCACAACCACCACUGUACACGAAACGCGAUCUAAUCGCAAACCACGUACGCGUGGUAUCUACCUCGAGUGUCCUCAUUGCACCAUGAAAUGGAUCACGCGGAAAUCUAACGGCCACGCGAGACGUCCUCCAAAUCCGAGGAGGAGGAUCCGACCAAACACGCGUCGACGCCACACCCGACCCCGCGAGCGGCGAACCACCACAGCGAAAAAAAAAAUGCUCGAGGCGGGCGAGAUCUAGGCAGGGAGGAAUCGAUGUUUACCUCCGGAGACGAAGAGCGGCUGCGUGGCGUGGAAGUGGACGCCGCGGACGGGGCCGUCGUGCUCGUCGAAGCGGUCGAGGAGGGUGCCCAUGCGGUAGUCCCACAUCUGGAUCACCCCGCUGUGGAGGCUGGCCAGGAUCCAUGGCCGCCGCGGGUGGAAGCUCAGCCCCUUCACCCGGUUGCUCUUCGUCUCGAACUUGGUCAGCAUCUUCUCUAGCCGUCCCCCCGGCGCGACGGCGGCGGCGGCGGCGAAACCCCUCGCCGCUGAGGCGCGCGGAGGAGAGAGAGGGGGGAGGGGGGGUGGUAUGGCGUUGGGUGGAGAGGACGAAGGUGUUUUUGAGAUCUCGGGGUGGGAGGAGGAAGAAGUGGGGGGAGAGAUCUGGGUUUCGGACGCGGUGGUGAGGUGGUGGGAGGCUUGGCCACCGUUGGAUUCUGGAGACGGGGAGAUCUGGGCCGUUGGUUCCGGUGUGGCCGUGUUGUCAGAUUGGGGUAGACUUGUUUAGGGGUGAGUCAGCUUGGUCCGUAAGGUACCUGAUGAAUACUGUAGCUUCAGUACGAAGGCAGCGUUUUUGACUUGUCAGUAGCAGUAGAGAAAAAAAAAAGUUUAGGGCCAUUUGAAUCGCAUGGUUGAAAGAAAUGUAGGAAUAUAAAAAAGACAGGAUUCUGAUAAGAAUUGAAGUGUAAAACAGAGGAUUGCAAUAUACAUGAAUGGUCGUUUGAUUAGAGCGCAGAAAAAAAACGCAUGAAUCGAAUGAGAGAGAUAGACUCAAAGGACAUUUUCUAAGAGGUUGGAGCUCUUGCUAAAAUUUUCCUCUAAAAUCCACAUGCAAUGUGUCAUUCCAUAGGAAUUUCAUAGGUUUUGGAAAGCUUCAAUCAUUUGAAUCAAAGUACCAAAUAGAAAAAUUUCCUAUAGGAUUUGAAUCCUAUGAAAUUUCUACAUAAAUCCUUUGUUUCAAGAGGCCUUACCUUUUGUAGUUAUGUCAUUUAUAUUUAAAAAACAGGAUAUAUCAUAUAAAAAAUUAUAACCAUGCUAGUAGAAAAAAGGAAUUUAUAAGGCUGGUUAUAACCAUGGUUUAUACUUAUGCUAGUAGAACAAAGAGUUUCCAUGUCUUAAAAUGUCACAACAGAUGCAAGCAAACAAGCACAACCAUAAUACUUGCCGAUUUUGGCAGGUACAGUAGUAUAGGAAUGAGCGUUGGUUACUGCAAUUGUUUCUCCGAUGAAUCAAUAAGUGCAUUAUCGAUUGGAAUAAGAUAACUUAAUGGACGAUCCUUCCCGAGUCUUCAUCAACAACCAAGAGAAAACGAUAGACAUCAGAAAAGGUUAAAGGUGGUAAACAACAUAAUUCCAUAAAUGGAAGGGGACAAAAGACCUAGACAGUAUAUCACUAUAUUAGAUCUAAUCUUGUAAAUACUUUAUUUGAAAAACAAAUCUAAAAUAUUCCUAAAAUAAAAUAGAAGGGCCUCCUCACCAUCGACAAGGGUGCUAAAGACAGUAGGGAAGGGAAGGGGGACUAGAUGGGUUGUGAGGACGAAAGCCUUCAUGAAUUAAAUUGGUGAUUCAUGGUACGCUCUCGCUAUGACAUAUUCCAGUUUACCAUCCAAAUCUAUAUAAUACUUUAUCUAUAGAUAUAUCCACCUAGUUUAUUUGCUAUAAAAAAUCUAGCACAUGAAGUUUAAAGUGCAUCUAGGCUCUAAUUCAAUUUCAGUAAUCAAUGACUAGCGAUUAGAGAUGACUAACACCUUUGCAUAUAACUCUUUGGGCCUACAUGUCAUGUCAGUGGCUAGAUAUUAUGGAACUUGGUCCCUAAGCUUUCUAAAAAUCUUGAAUAGGUCCUUAUCUUCAACCACAAAUAAGAGGAGUGUAAUAAGUGGCGCGCUCAGCCAAGAGCCAAGGCAUGCCCAGGGGACCUCCGUGGUCCCUUCGGGUGCAGUAGGCACAUCAUAGAGUGGCUAGAGGACGACGGGCGACGAGCUCCUGAAAAGCCGUGGCCAUGAUGCUUAUGGUGGUGGGUAGGCAGUGCUCGGGUGGUAGAACGGCAAUAGCUCUAGCAACUACAUGCAUAGGGAAUAGGGAAACCGUAAGCAGGCUAGGGAUUUUCUCACUUAGAAGGGCUUUUCCCGCACUUAGUGAUGGCGGGAGGUAGCAGUGGUGCUUCGGCAAGAUAUGAACAAUGUUGGUAGGCGCGGCUAUUCGGGAAGGGGAAAACGAGAUCAGUGCAACAUGGGGAAAAAGGUGAUGCACAUGGUUGAAAGGUGAUCUCACCGAGGACGUUGCGAUAGGCUCUUGUGCUUACCAGCACCAAUGAUGGCUCCUUUAUUCCUGACAAGAGAGAGAGCCAUGAGCUCCCUCAAGUUGGAAUAGAAUGGGGCGAGUUGAGGAAAAGGAGUGCAACAGGAAGGUUUAUGCGAGGGUUGCAAGCUCAUUUCAUGGCAUUACUCUAAUAUGGCGACCUCAAGCCGUGUGGUGAUGGAACGGGAUUGUCGGGGGUACCGUGGUAUCAGGGAGGAGCCAGGAGGAUUGAUAGCUUGAAAUCUUUGGUCAGCAUUGAAAGAUUUGGUCGGUUUGACUUAGUCGGCACAAGAGGGACCGUAUACGUUCAACGAUUAGCGAGAAAGAAAUAGAGUAAAUUCCCUGUGUACCCCUGAAAACUCACUCAAUCCCUUUCAUACUCCUAAAAUUUACCCGAUCCCUUCUGUACCCCUGAAAUUUCAAUUUGAUCCCUUCCAUGCCCCUACCGUUACAUUUUCCAUCAUUUUACUGUUACGUUUGGUUGCAAAUGUCUUUUUUGCCCUUGAUGCUUUAGGUUUAAAUAUAAGCUUCAAAAAUAAUUGAAAAUUUUGUUUGAGUGCACAUCGUGUGCAUUUUAUAAAACUAAUGAGACUAAAUAAUUAGUGCAGAAAAUUUUGACAUAAAUUUUGAAAAUAAAAUAAAUGUAAAAAAAAUAAAAUUUUUAUUUGAAAUUUUAAUAGGACAAUGGAUUUUUUUAUCAGGAGCAUUCAUAAAAAAAAAUGUUGUGAACAUUGGUAUACCUAUCUUUAUAUGAAUGCUCCUCAUUUUUAUGACCUUUUUUUAAAAAAAUUAAUACGUAUUUUUUUAUUUCAUUAUCUAAAAAUAUUUUUUUGGGAUAAAUAAUGCAUCGCACAACAAACUCAUAACUAUAAUAGUCUCAUGCGAGAAGCUUUUAUAUUUUUAAUAAUGUAAUUCAUGAAUUUCUUUGUUCAUCCAAGGGUAAAAUGGUCAUUUUUAUAGAAAAUACACGGUCAACUAACGGUCAACUGACGGGAGGGGUAUGCAAGGGAUCAAAAUCAAAUUUUGGGGGUAUAUAAGGAAGUAAGCAAAAUUCAGGGGUAUAGAAGGGAUUAGGAAAAAUUUCAGGGGUAUAUAAGGGAUUUUCUCAAAGAAAUAUGGUGAGAGAUGAGUGUUCAAAGGCGAGUAAAAAAAAUUCUACAACCACAUUGCAUAAUAAAAAAAAUCAAAUAAUAAUUUCAUAUAACUAGACUAGAACAAAGCUUAAGAGGUGAAAGGAGUUUUAUGCUAUGAUUUAGUAGUCGUUGAGACCUAUGUUACUCAAAAUUUUAGACUCAAUCUACGGGGUUUUUUUUUUGCCCACGGGUUGGUGGGUACGGGCGUGUAAAGAACGGACCAUACCCAUGUACCUAACGGCUAAGAGUUUUCGCCCGUCAAUAGACUCAUGGGUAUAAGAGUUAGAACAUGAUUAGCUCCUAAUAGAGUAAAAAUCCGUCGGGUGUCGGGUCACGGGUCCCCAUUGACAUCUUUACUUCCAAGUCAUCAUGCAUGGAAAAAAAAAACCAAAAAUAAUUUAGCGCAUAUGAAUUUAUGUACAUCAUUUUGAAGUUUUCACUACUUCAUUUUCUUCUUGGAUGUUGCGUCGAUGAUGAACAAAUUGAAUGAAGUUAAAUUUCUAUUUCAAUGGUAGAAUUUAAUAAGUUUCUAAUCCAUGUUAAGCUAAUCUUAUUGAAGUAUAAUAUUUUCUAUAAGGUCAUCGGGCUAUGUGAUGUAUUUUGCCAAAAGUCUUCACAGUUUAUUUAUGGGUGAUUUAACUACAAUAAGUGGGAAAAGAUUAUUUGUUUAGAUCUUGGUUUAAAAUUCUAAUUUGACUGAGUUGCUGGGGCAUCACAAUAAUGGUAAAGAUUAUAAAAUGUUUUUGUGAAGUCUGUUUGUUUUACUUCGGAUCGAGUUGUCUUAGCCCCAGGCCCCAGCAUGCUUUGUACCUUUCCUCCAUGUAUGAAAAAUAGUCAUGAGUGUUAACAUUUUUAUGUAUUGUUCGUAUAUUAUAAUAACAUCUAAAAUUUACUAAAAUGUACUUAGUAUUUAUUUGUGAUUAGGAAAAUCAAUUUUGCUUUGAUAAAAGUAUUUUUCCUUGCAUUUCAUUUGCAUAAAAUGUUGUUACGUGGGUGCAUGGUUUGGGAUUAAAGACGUUUGAUUUAUUAUAUUUGCGUAUGCUAUGUUUUGAUUUUCAUUUAUAUGUAAAAUAAACUAUUAAAAUGAGUUUUAACAUUUUAAGGCAGCUAAAUGCGUCCCCUCCCCGGUCCAGUCCCCGGCAUUCUCAGCGGUGACGAGGGAAAGGGUACCCAUCUUAGGAUUUAUUCCAAUUACAUCCUCCUAUUAUCAAUCUAGGAUAUUUCUCCCAUGGUGUUUCUUGAAUCAGGUUUGGUUAAAUUCUUUUGCUCUUUUUACAUCUCUUGUUGGAGGUUAUUUCGUUUGCAAGAUUCCCAGUUCGCCAAUGAAGCAAUCAAUGGCACCACCUUUAAGGUUAGGGUCACCGAUUUGCUGAUUUAUCAAAGGAGUGAAGAUAGUGGCCUGUGUUCCUUGAUUUCUUUGUGUGCAUGUUGGAGUUGGUUAGAGUUGUCUCACUAUCCAUUGUUAAUAAGAGAUUAAGCAGCAAACAAGAGACUAAAAUGUGGUAAAUUUCCAGUAGCAUGGAAGGAAUUUAUCCGUUCACUAAUGAAUGAUUACCGCGUCUAAGAGCAUAGGGGUUUGACGCCGAACAAAGCUAGGCCUAUAUUUUUCAGUUAGGACAAUCUAUAUAUAUUUUUAACUUUUCUGGCAUGAACUUAAUGUGUCUAAUUGUACUUUGCCCCCAAAAGGCCUAUGCCCAAUACCUUGGAUGUAAAGUGUUUUUUUUAGUCAUUUACUCCCUCCAUCUCAGAAUAUAGAGAGUUUUAACCCUUGACAUGGCUAUUAAGGAGAAGGGUAGAAAGACUUAUUUGCCAUCUUAGGAUAGAUGAUGUGCAUGUACUGACUAUAAUUAAAACAAGGAAUAGUUAGGUAAUAUGGGUAGCUUAGUAGAAAAAAUACAACCUAUUACUAAUACUAUUUUGCUAUAUUUGAGACAAAUCUUGAAUUCUAUAAGUUGUUAUAUGCUACAUUUGAGAUAACUUUUGAAUUUUAUAUUUGAGAUAACUUUUGAAUUCUAUAUGAGGUUAUAUUUUAGUACGAAGGGAGUAUGGGAAAAUAUGUAAUGUAGUAGAAACCUAAAAACUACAGUUGGAUUCAAAAAAUAGCACCCGAGUGUAAAUUUUUUACUCUUAAUGACGUGAAAAAAUCUCAUACAUUUAUUUUUUUUAUUUUUAGAUCAAUGAUAAUUAUAAGUUUCUAUUACAUAUGUGCAUUUUUAGGUGCAACGGUAGUUUGCUGGGGGAGAAUUGCUGUUUUUUUUUUCCAGUACCCAAGUUUACACUGCGCCAACAAUACAAGGGAAAUCUUUUCCCAGCAUUUGGGUAAAGUUCUCUCUCCUACUUGGGAGCACCGGAUUUUUUUUUCUCACCUAUAUAACUUUUUCUCAGAAGUUAACACAUGACAUGCUAUGGAAUUGCAUAGUUUACUGCCCAAAACACUGUCCAGGCUACGACAUUGUUCUGUUGUGCCGCAGCAGAAGCAACGAAAAAUAGAACUGAAGCAGUACGUUCUAAGGACUAAGGACUUGUUUAGAUGGGACUAAAACUUUUAAAUCCAUAUUAUAUCGGAUGUUUGGACACUAAUUAUAAAUAUUAAACGUAGACUAUUAAUAAAACCCAUCCAUAAUCUUGGACUAAUUCGCGAGACGAAUCUAUUGAGCCUAAUUAAUCCAUGAUUAACCUAUGUGAUGCUACAGUAAACAUUCUCUAAUUAUAGAUUAAUUAGGCUUAAAAAUUUUGUCUCGCAAAUUAGCUUUCAUUUAUAUAAUUAGUUUUGUAAGUAGUCUAUAUUUAAUACUCUAAAUUAGUGUCUAAAUACAUGGACUAAAGUUAAGUCCCUAUAUUCAAACACCACCUAACAAACUAUAAUCCUGCAGGUCCUAGUUUAGGCCAAAGUUGGCAAUGAACAACCAAUUUGGAACUGAACAGCCCGCUUGAAGAUUUACAACACACAGAUCAUUUGCUACUCCUAAAAGGAGCAUAAACAAGUAUCACAAUUCUUUGUUAACCAAACAAUCUUAAGGUGAUCAACAUUGUGAACAUACAGUGUAACAAAAGCAAGCGUGGACGGUGACAAUCACAAGCAACAGAAUGAACAAAAUAAUGCGAGAAAGUAGCUCAAUAGGAUGACAAUGAAAGUAACACCACGACAAAAAAUUUCCAAGAGUGAAAGUAAUAUUGGUACAUCAAUUGUCCAGGGGUAGGCGCAUAGGCCACCAUGAGAUGAUCAAAAGUCCAUAUAUGACAAGUGUAACAGCUGCCUCAAGGCAAACAAAAAUCGAGGGAAAUGAGGGGGAGAAGAUACAAAAACACGACCAUGUAUACACUCCUCAAUCAGUAAACAUGCAGCUAAAAUGUGAGAUAGAGAAUCCCUAGAAUUUUAAGAGACUAAAAGAAAAUGGGGGAGCUCUACCUUAGCACCACUUAUCUCAACUGUGUGGGCGAGCAGACGAGGCCUGAAGCAUCUGCACCAACCACGGCAAGCUCACAUAUGGUACAAAGCUGCCCUUCGAUCGAAGGAACAAACCGGGAUCCACAGUACGGGCAGGAAACAUCCUUCUGGCCACGGUAGAUUGGAACAUAUGUGGCGCCACAGACAACAAAUGGAUUUCUGUAGUCAUAGUUCAGCUCAGAGCUAUCCUUCUUGCCACUGCACUGCUGCUGCACCUGUCGAGCCCUCCUUGCCUGGGCCUCAUUAGGGUUGUUCUCCAGAAGCAUCCUUGCAAAGUGCUCUGCAGUAGCGAAGUUCUUUUGCUUGUAGCACAGACCCAUAGCGCUUCCAAGCACAAGCCUCAUAUGAACUCUCUGAAGCUUGCAGUUAGUGAAAUAAGCAGCCAAUUCUUGUUGGCGGUUGACAUCAUCUCUCAACUCCUUCCUCUUAAGUUCCAUCCUCAGGCCAAGAACAUACUCCCUCACAAUCUCGAUCAACUCUUUCACUUCAUCCACUUCCCUCCUCGAGUCUACCACGAUAAGAGGGAUGGUAUGCAAGAUGCUAAGGAACUGCCUCAGGGCUUCUGGGAACUUACCAUCUGUGGUGGCCUUAUAGGCAGCCUUGAGUCUGUCUUCCAUUUGUGGGAAGGUGAAAACAAGUGCAGGAGGGCCUCUCACAUUAGGACUUGCAGACUCGCUCCAACCUUUCUCAACAGCAACUGGUAUGAUGGGGGCAGUUGCAAGUGCAUGAAGAUAUGAGUGGCUGCCCAUGUGCAGAUCAAGAAACAGGGGCUUGAGGGGAGCAAAGUUUUUUAUGCCCAACUGGCGACUAAGCAACCUCAUUGCAGUGUCAAAGUUCCCUGCUGCUGCAUGCUCCCCAGCAAGAGAAGAUUUCUGAGUCCAAAUCAGGCUGACAGGCAUGCCUGGUGGAGGAGCAACGAAGACCGCUGAGCGUGCAUUGCCAGCAUUUUUUGGGGUCUCUGCUUCAGGCAGAAGUUCCAGAUCUUCUAGGUCCCAACCACCUUCCUCGCCAUCCUCCUCAUUUGCUUCACCCUCCUCAGCAUCAAAACCGUCACCACCAUUCGCCAUCGCUUCGCUUGCAUCAACAAUAUCCAGGCCCUCAUCACCCCAGUCAGCACCAGCAGCUUCAUCGUCUUCCUCAAGUUCAGCCUUCCCAGUAGCAUCCAGUCCACCCUCAAAGAUACCACGCAUCACCCGAAGCAAUGGCCAAUCACCACUGGCUGUGAGAGGAGCAGGGGGGAUCAAAAGAGAGCGAGCUUUUCCUUCAGGAAGAGAAGGAAUAUUUUCACCCAGCUCAGCGGCAAGCCUAUCAGCAAUUUCUGUGAGCCCAUGGGUGGUAGCAGUAAUAUAGGCAAGAGGUAGCUGUCCAGCAUUCUCUAGGAUCUCAACUCUCUUCAUAGCAUCACCAAGAUACAGAGCAUUGUGGAAUUGACCCAUCAGGUUAUUGUUCUGUCCAGCAAUUUUGCACAUGAACCCCACCUUGUCCAUGUAACCAGUAAUAAGAUAUAGGAAAGCAAGCCUCUCAAAAUUCUUCGUACGUUGGUAUGCAUAUUCCACAAUACCAACAUUUCCCUGCCUCAGGGCCUCAAUUCCCAACCUGUACCAGUGAUCCUUGUCAUCAAUCUCUUUUGCAGAAGCAACUGCGAUUUGGAUGUUACCACUCUCAAGAGCAAGGUUAAAUCUUGUCUUCUCAUCUUUCACAAAGUGGAGGGCAACUUCUGGAAAGCCUUUCUGUUGUAAAUAAGAAAUCACAGCUUGCCCACACAGCUGGGAAUUCUUGAUCAUACUCAUCACAUGAUCAUACCGUUUGCGUAGAAGGGCCAGCUUGAAAAUGUACUCAGAUGCAUCAACUGUGACCAGCUUGUUCUUACCAUCACGAUCUAGACAGAAUAUAUUGUUCCCAAUAACCCUUGUUAUGUAUAUAGGAACAUCGAGGGUUUUAAUAAUUCCACUAUCUCCAUUGGGAAGGCAAUACUUGAUAUGAUUCAGGGUAGUGUAAAUAAACACACCAUUCUCAUCCCAGGCACCACUUUUCACACGAAUGGUUUCGUGCAGUGUACAGCGAUGGACGAGCUUCUUGUUUGCUAUAACCACCGCAUGCUUGCUCAGCAGUGCGACAGAUUCCAUAUCACUCGACCAAACAACAUAUUUAACAGAAGGUGCCUGGAGCUCGCCAAGAAUUAACCUUUGCUGCAGAUCAAAGAUGGUCACUCGGUCUUCGGCUUUGCACAGCAAGCUACCAGUCCCAGCAUAAUAAAUUGCAUCCGUGGCAAUAGGAAGAGGGCUUUUCUUUACAAUUUCGUUCUUAAGAUUCCUCACCAAAACUUGAUUGCUACUCUUCUCAAGGACUGCAAACCUGUUGCGUGCCACGAAAACAGCUGACCCACCAGCCCCCUUCUUUGCAUCCUGCAAAUAGUCAGCCCUGCCAGCAGAAUCCUUGGGAACAAUGUAGAGUUCGUAUGAGCCUCCAUCCACAUCAGAGCAAAUCAGGACAGCAUUUUCAGUUGGACUGUAAGAUAGUGUCUUGGGUGACUGGUUCAAGCUCACUGAUCCAGGUCUUCUUAUUGGAGCAAGCUGAACUUCCUUCUGUGUGGUGAAUUCAAAAAAACGAAGAAAACGGUCCUUCACAUAGAAAACAGUAUCUCCACUCACAGAGAAAGCUGGACGUUCCCUCUCCAAUUUAAACACAAUCAUACCACUGUCAUGACCAGCGGCAAGAAGAUUCAUCUCAGGGUGAGCAGAAAGAAUCCAGAAACGAUCAUGCUCCCGCCUGAACGUUUGAAUACCGGUUCGCUUUGUGGCAUCCCAGAUGCGAAUGCUUUUGUCCUCUGAGUUGGACACUAUGAUGUCUUGCUUUGCAUGGAACAUCACACAGGACACGUUAUUCAUGUGCCCCCGCAAAGUAUCAACUUCCCAAGCCUUGGUGUCUGUCAAAAAACAGCACAUUUAGAUUGCAUCACCUAUUAUCCCUUUAAAUAAUGCAAUGGUGAUAGUGGAAGUGAAUGUUCCACACCCCACAAAGUUUGCAGCACAUCUUUUUUACUUCCUUGAAGUUCUUUAGUUUGUUAAUAUCUUAUUCUCAUCUCUAAAUCAAGUUUAUCACAGAAAGGUCUACGGUGGUAAAACUGACACAUAUAUAUGUAGAGUAAUGUAAAAAUCAUUAGUGCUACUUGUACCUAGAAUAACAAAGAUGAAGGGUGUGUUGAAUGAAAAAGUCAUAAUUCAUUUGUUUCAAACAAUAUUAGCACAUGUACAAUUCAUCUUGCCUGUUGCAAGUAGCAAUGCAUGGUUAUUUAGCUAGUUCAAAUAUUUUGAUUGCUGGCAUGCAUAUACUUUUUAUUUUUUUUAAGUUUGAACAAUAUACAGAAAAGUAAAGUGCUAUACAGCAACAAUAACCACCUUUAGUCCUACUGGCACUAGUUUACUAACUGGAAACAUCUCUUGCAUUCUGCUUGUUUGCUGACAAGUUAGUUCAGAUUAAUGUAGACAUGGGGGAAACGCUAAUUAGUUCUUCUGUCAAAGAAAGACAAAUCAAGGAACACAAAAUAAUUCAUAAUAAAAGCAGAUGCAUAAUUCUGUAGCUCUGUUCUAUGAAAAAUGAUGGAUGCAAACAAAAAUAAUGAAGUUGUUUAUCUAAGGAAAAAAAAGGAUGUAGUAGCAGUAUUACCAUUCAUUCUCCAUAUCUUCACUUGCCGAUCAUCUGCCCCAGAAACAAUUAGUGGCAACGUGGGAUGAAAUGAAGCCCAGUUGACCCCACGAUCAUGCCCUUCCAACACAUAUUUUACAACCGCGUCAACACCUCCAAACAGAUCUGUGUUCAUCUGGGUGAGACGCAGGAUGUCAUCCGCAGGUGACACUGACUUCUUCCUCAAAGCACUAAUAUCCCAGACACGGACAGUCUGAUCAAGAGAUGCUGAAACAACCAGAUCCUCCUUAGGGUGGAAAGAUGCACACAUGACAUAAUGGUUAUGCCCAGUGAGCACAGCCACACAUGUGCGUGACUGCCAGUUCCAGAUCCGGAUUGUCUGGUCAUCACUGGCACUUACGAUCCACGGGCACUCGUGGUGGAAUUGCACCGUGCGAAUGUAGUCAAGGUGGCCAUGAAGCGUGAAGAGGCAACGGUGUGUCUUGUAAUUCCAUACCUUAAUCUUGUAAUCAUCACCUGCAAUGCAUCACGGAAAACUUAGAAGAGUUCAGGAGUUGUUCGAUCUUAUUUUAUGACAGUUCCAAAUCAUAUGGGCCACUGUUAUGCCAACAAUACAGAUGAAACUGGUGUGUGACUUAGUUUCAAGUUCCAACAAUCCAAAUGUUCCAUGAUUGCCAACCCCACCAUUGCUAUGGUAUCAGAAAUACAACCAUGGAAGCUGCUACUCUUCAGUUAAAGCUAUAGAUCGACUCUCAUGUUUGAAAAGAUUGUAAAAUCGAUGGAGAUCCUGCCAUCCUGCUGGUCAUAAACAUGAACCAAAUGGCCCCUGAAGGUUACAAACCAACAAUCCACCGAACAGUUCAGCGUAAGCAGAUAUGAUAAAGCUCGCAAGCACUAGAUCCGACUAACCCAACCCACCAACCAGGAUCCUUGACAACCAACCACCACUCCAAAUCAAACGCGAUCUAAUCGGAUCACAGAGACAACUAGAGGCCUCGAGACGUCCUCCGAUCCAGGGCAGGAUCCGAGCGAAACAAGCAACACGCCACGAAGCCCAUGCCCGCCGCCCCGCGAGGGAGAGAGAUCUAGCGGGUCUACUCACCUCCGGAGACGAAGAGCGGCUGCGUGGCGUGGAAGUGGACGCCGCGGACGGGGCCGUCGUGCUCGUCGAAGCGGUCGAGGAGGGUGCCCAUGCGGUAGUCCCACAUCUGGAUCACCCCGCUGUGGAGGCUGGCCAGGAUCCAUGGCCGCCGCGGGUGGAAGCUCAGCCCCUUCACCCGGUUGCUCUUCGUCUCGAACUUGGUCAGCAUCUUCGCUUGGCCCUCCCGCCCCUGAUCGUCGUCUCCGGCGACGGCGGGCGCGGCGGCGGAGGCGAACCCCUAGCCCCGGAGGCGGAGACGAGCGGAGGAGAGGGGAGGCGCUGGAUCUGGGGCGGGGUGGAGGGAGGAGAGAGAGAGAGAGGAUGGCAUGGUUGUGAGAUUGCCACUUAAGCAGUCACUUCCGAUCUUAGCCGUUCAAGGUGCAAUCAACGGCGGAUGCAUUUCCCUGUUUUCCUAAACACCAGAACCGAGAGAACGGACAAUAUGCCACUCUAUACGUGGGGAUUCGAUAAAAUGCCACUCAAUAUGAUGCACCGGAUAAAAUGUCACUCAGUAUGUUGGUAUCAGGUGAAAUACCACUUUGAACCUAUGUUGAUUUAUUUUUGGAUGAAAAGAAUGCUUGUUGUAUCAAUCAAAUUGGCCAGACGCCCAUUUUGAUUUGAUAUCAGCGUAGUUGGCCCAUUUUGAUUUGAUAUUAGUGUAGUUGGCCCAUUUUGAUUUGAUAUUAUUGUAGUUCAACCGGCUAAAUUUCUUGUGGUAAAACCAACCCCCUAAGUUUAAGUCCUAGUCUUGACGUUAGUGCUUAUAAUUAUGGCUAGUUAUUAUUUUCCAGUGAUAGAUAAUGAACCCGCCAACAAUGAAAUGCUCGUGGUGACUUCGUCAAUCUUACCGACCCAAUCUUUCGGAGGUGCUCAUAGAGGUAAGGUGAGUGCCGUGUGCACGUUAUAAAUGCUUGUGUUUGUACUGUGUUUCAAAAAAAUAUAUGCCUUACCAAAUUAUUGAUACCUUAAAAGUACUUUAGUUCCUAUUAAAAAGCACUUUGGUUAGUGUUUGGUUUGCUAUUAAAGUGUUCCAAUAACACAUGUCUAUAUUGCUUUUUUAAAAAAGUUAGUGCUCGUAGUGAACUUGCCACAUCACCUACUCUCAUUAUAAAUUUUACAAAAUACCCUUUAUUAAAUGUAUUAAUAUUAAGAAACAAUCAAAUCUAAAUGAAUAUCUGUCAGGAUUACGGAUAAGACAUAUCUCGUAUCCUACAAUUAACCAAGUAUAUUAGAUCGGUAUACCUCAUAUCCCAAGAUAUGUUUCUAUAUGCGAUAAGGACAUAUAUAAAAUAUUAUAGGAAAUAUCCUUAUGAGCUGGAGACUACUAGAGUCCUACUCGGGAAGGACUAGGACUAUUCUAUAUCGUGCAGGGUUCAUUGUUUCCGAGUUCAACUUGGAGACUAAGGCAAUCCACGGUAUAAAAGGCAUACCCCUGGAGGGGUUCUGGAUUAUCGAAUCAUAGCGCCAACACGCCGACCAUAGUUUUCGAAGCCGAAGGACCCAAGCUGAAGCCGCCGGGAGAUCUCAUCGAACAAUCUCGACUAGGGUCUCGUCGGUCUCAACGAGUUCGUAUGUUCUCUCUGUAUUCUGUGGUCUUCCAUAUCAAUCCCAUAUAAACUGAAUUAGGGUUAUUAUUUUACGAGGGGCCUUAACCAAUAUAAUCAUUGUAUUUUGUCUAUUUUAAUGUCGUAUCGUAUAGAUCAUCGUACCAACAUACCCUAAUACCCUAUUUAUCUGGUCUACGGGUAUCCCCCGUUGACAAUAUCCAUAUAUAAAAUCAAAAUAAGGGGAAUAUUUCCUAUAGAAAAGGAAUGAGUAACACAUUUCAUGAAAAAUUUAUUUUAGAAAAUAUUGUAAUGUAUUUUCUUUUAUCCGUAGCAAAACAUAUAUAUUCAAUUAGUAGAUAAAAACAAAUUGGCAGUACUGAAAUUUGCAUGUGUUGACAUUGCUAAUAUUUUGUCAUGGUAGCAAACUAAAUAAGCCCACCAUCUUGCCAAAAUUUUGUUUAAAGAGUGGCCACGUCUUAGGCAAGAUAGUAAAUAUUAAACCAUGGCAUGAUUGAAUAGCUGCUUUUAAAAAGUUAGGAAAGUAUAGUAGAAAUUAAGCAAACACCCUAUGCUUCUGUUGUGUCAAUGAUUUCUUAAGACAGAUUUUUGAUGGUACACCAAAGCUUCAGUGUAGAGGAUUAGGAUUAGUGACUUUAAUUAGACAUGUUGUUUUGCGUCGUGACGGAGGUUCAAACGUCCCAACGUCAAGAAAACUAACUUCCCAACUUUAGCAAUUGAUUGCAUGCUGCUCUCUUUGAAGUUUGGACCAUACAUACAUACAUACAUACAUACAUACAUACAUACAUAUAUAUAUAUAUAUAUAUAUAUAUAUAUAUAUAUAUAUAUAUAAUAAGCUAAAAUUGGAACGAUGUGAUGAAAAAGUUGAAAGUUUAUGUGUAGAAAGUUUUGAUGUGAUGUAAAAGUUGGAAGUUUGAAGAAAAAAGUUGGGAACUAAACUAGGCCUUAGGUUUAAAAAAAUUGCAAGUCAAGAUUUAAAACUUUUAACUUAGUUUUAAAAACUUUCAAGUGAAGAUUUUAAACCUUAACUCAAAUUUAAAAACUUUUAACUAAAAUUUUGAAAGCUUUUUGGAUUUGAAACAAAAUCAGAUCAAUAUUUGAAAAAUAUCAACUCAGGUAUGAAAACUUUUAAAUCAAAAUUAAAAACUUUCAUCUUAAAAUUCAGAACGUUCAAAUAAAAUUUGAAAACUUUCAUACCAAAAUUCAAAAUAUUCAACUCAAAUUUAAAAAAACUAUCAACUGAAAUUGGAGAUGAGAAUAUUUAAUUUCUAAACUAAAAAAAUAGUGAAAAAAGUCAAAAACCGCGUCUGGUCAAUUAGCUUUGGAAAGAGUACGAAUUACCCCCUCACCCACCCCGUACUAUCGUGGUUGACCGAAUUACCCCCUAAACUCAAAAACCAGAUAUCUCUCACCAUGAACUUUUAAUACCGGAUAAGUUACCCCCCUCGAUCCAAUCCAUUGUAAGCAAAGAAGUCAUCUAAACUCGAAUAUUGGAUUUCAAAUCCCGUCUGGUUUUCGCGCCUCGAUCAAUGAAAUCUCACUCUAAUACUGAAACUUUCAGGCUCUCGAAACACUCACUUCAUAGCACAUAAUAUGCUAUGGUCCUUCAACCCUUCACAACCAAGACUAUCGACGACUCAACAAGAAAAGAAAUUGACAACAUUAAAUAUUUUUUACAUAAUAACAAAUUUUAUUGAAGUUAAUCAAUUACAUAAAAACGAUAACCAUCAAUACCCUUUUACAGUAUCAUAUGUCAUACACUACCCGAAUUCCCGAAACCAUGUUCAACGUUCCUUUCCAUUCAGACAGAUCCAGCAGGCUCAGCCUCCUCUCGGUUGCACAGCACAACACUAGGCAUAAAAUCUCAUCAUCUUCUUCUCGUUUUCCACACGCAUGCUUUUCAAACUGCUAAACGGUGUUUUUUUUAAAAAAAGCUUCAAUACGAAAGUUGCUUAAAAAAUCAUAUUGAUUCGUUUUUUAAAAAAUUAACAAAUACUUAAUUAACCACACGCUAAUGGACGGUUCGAUGAACGCAUCAGGUUGGGAAGCCAGGCUUCCGAACGCAGCCUAAUCCAGCGGCGGAGUACUGCCCAGGAGAAGCGUUCUGAACACAUGCCCCCUCCUGAAACGGCAGGAACAUGGACGUGGGCACGUAACAGCCUGUGAAUGCAGCCAAACACCGCUGAAAAUUCCCAACAAACUUCGCCCGUUUCCAAAGGCUGCUACGACUUCACCAUAAACAAAAGUCACCUACCCACAGCAAGAAGCACUCACUGAUGACUAAUCCCUGAGAGAACUUAUCAGCUAAACACAAUCAAGUAGUGUAAUCAACAGCUGGAACAGAUUUUGCCCAGCACUCCAUCCAUCCGUUCCGAAAUAAACUACACUAAAAUAAAUAAUGUGUUAUUUAUAUGACAGUACCUUGUCGCAAAAUAAAGAUAUUUCUCCACAUAUCUCCUCCUAUCAACCAGUCACAACCAUUUUCUUUCACCCAUUUUUAUCUUCUUAACCAAUUACACCCUUCCUCUAAUCAUUCUUACAUAUUUUCUUAAUAUCUAUAUUAACCCUAUAAAUACUUAUUUUUUGAAAUAGAGAAAGUAUAACAAAUAUUGAUAUAUCCUUAGUUUAAUUUAUUUUAAAACGGAGAUAUAUCUUAGUUUUUUUUUUUGCGUGACAGCCUGACAGGCAAGCGUGAGACAGACCCCGUGAAUGUGUGAUGCCCCCCGAGUGCCCAGGGACCCUACCUACCUCCACCUGCGACAGCUGCUGCUGCUGCGUGAAGGCACGCCCAUGACGAACCUAGGACCUCGUCUUCAGUGUCGCCAUCACCCGGCAGCACAUGAGCACACAACAACUUUGAUCAUCAUCAUCACCAUUGUUAUGCAUCUUAUCCGGUGGAGAUUGGAGAAACUGAUUGAGAUCCUCCUCGUUGUCGUCGUGGAUGGAAGGAGGCCUUCUUUCUUUCUCCGCGUCAGCAGGCUGAUCGCUCAGUUUCGGUCCAAAAGCAAAAGAGAGAGAGACAUCGCAUUCUCAGAUUCUCCGCAUCGUCUGUGGUACAGGAAAUUUGCGUGGAAAAAUUGGUCGCCGAGCAGGUGAGCGAGCGAGUGACCGCGAUUUCGGUCGUGUUCUUGUCCGUAAGUCUGUCCGAAUUUAUCAGAUUGAUGCUGCAGAUUGCGUUCAGGUCUUUCGACAGUCCAACUGUAACAUCCGCGGUUCAUCACACUGUAACUUCACACGCCAACAGCUCAGACAUUUCUACCAGGAGACGAAACGAAUAGAUUGACAGCUCAAGACACGCUAAGCAACGAUAUUGGAACACUUCAUCAACAAAACUCGGGUCACCUUUGGAAGCUAGUAACUGUACAGGAUUUUCACCGGAACUAGUUCAAUUCCCGUGAGAAAAUCCUCCGAAAAUCCUUAUUCCAUAGGAGGGAUCAAGCUGAAGACGAUGGGCAUUGAUCAUCCUUAUGGAUCAAGCUGAAGACAAUGAGCAUUGACCAUCAUCAAUUUUGCAGCAGGAACAACAGCAAACAACAGGGAAGCAGUGAGUCCUUUGCAGUUCUUGCUUGAAAUCAACCACUACAAUGUCAAAAGAUCUAGGCAGAAGCUAAAAUGAUCAAUGAUCAAUACAGUCAUACACUGAAACAAGAAGCACAAACCCGGACAGUAUCUCCCCCGAAUCAAAACGAUCAACUAAAAAUUGCAUUGCAAUUUCUGGGCGUGCGUGACAACAGAUACAGGAUACACCACCGGGAAGCAAAGGCUGCUCCGGCGACAAAAGGGUAGCAGCAACACCACGAACUGAAAACACACCACCUCCGGCGGCAACCGGCAAUCGCCGUCGUCGUCGCCGUCAUCGUCAUCGUCCAGCACCUACACACGCUCCUCCCUGAAUUAGAACAACACGAACGGAGAAAGAACUCCACAUGAAACAACAGCAGCAGCAGCAGGAAACUUGAGUGAAAUGUUAGCGAUUCCUCUUUCGGCCUUGGGCUUGGGCGUCGUCGUCUCACACGAAGCCGACCUCGGCGAACUGCGGGCGCGGCUUGGCCGUCGCGCCGGGGCGCGUCGGCGGCGGCGGCACCAUCCCUUCCGGGAGAGGGUUCUUGCGCGGGCGCCCUCGCGGGCGUGGGAUCUUGGGCGGCGCGUGCGGGUCCCGCGGCUUGGGCGGGCGGCCACGCCGGCGCGGCACGGCGGGGGCGGCGGCGGCGACGGAGCCGUCGACCGGCGCACCGACGGGGACGGGGACGGGUGCGGCGGCGGCGGGUACGGCCGGGUAGCCCGGGGGGCGCACCUUCGGGGGACGGCCGCGGCCUCGCUUGGGCGGAGGAGGCGGCGGUAAGUCGUCGGCCGAGUCAUCAUCGGCGAGGAACUCCUCCUCCUCCUCCUCCUCCUCCGCCACCGCCGCCGCCGCCGCCGGAUCCGCCGGCGGCGGCGGCGGAGGAGUCGGGCGGAGCGCGUACUUCCCACCCGCGACGGCGACGAGCUCCCCGGCGGCUGACAUCCGGGAGAGGUGCGCCGCGACGAGCGCGGGGUGCGACGGCGGGAGGAGGCCGCCGCCGCCGCGGGCCGCCUCGAUGCGGCGCGCGAUGGCGGCCUGGCUAGACCCGUUCUCCUCCGCCAGCGACGCGAUCGCCUCCACGAUCAUCUGCAGCAAAGAGAAGGAGAAGACAACCCAAGAAACCCGGUCAAUUCCGCCACAGAUCUGGGCAUCUGGCCAGGAACAGCUAGGGUUUAGAAAGAGAGCGUGCCUCGGGGUAGGAGGGGAGGACGAGGUCGGCGGCGCGGUGGCCAGUGGAAGUGGAGGUGGCCAUGCCUGGCUGGCUGGCUGGCUGGCUCCCUCCCUCUCGUAGGGUUGGGGUGGCGGGGGCGAGGGGCGCUGUCUCCUUCCGGCGUUGGUGCUGCGCUGUGCGCGUGUGGGAUUUGGGGCCGCCGCGACGCGGAUCUGAGAGGAGAAGGGGGGUUGUGGUUGUGGUCUUGUGGAUGUGGGGGGGAAUGGAAUGCAAGUACAGUUUAGACAAGGAAUCUGUCGGGUGGUACCGGGCCGGACGACCGGUCGCGGCUGCACGCUCUACUCCUCCUGUGACUCCGGUCCGGUUUAGGGGGUGUUUGGGAUAGGAACUUCUUUUUUUUUUAGAGAGAGAGAGAGAGAGUUUAGCCCCUCUCUCCCAAACAGCCCCUUAGUCUAUUCGCAAGCUUAAAUUCUACUCCCUAUGUACUAAAAAAAACUCAAUUUAAAAGAGAGAAAAAAACAGCUAAUGAGAAGCUCCUUUGUCGUGCAGUCUUGUACCUAGCUUUGAUCGCUUGUCUUAUUUAUUUUUUAAAAAAAUUAAAAACAUAAGUCAUGCAUAAAGUACUAUUCAUAUUUUAUUAUCUUAUAAUAAUAAAAAUACUAAUUAUAAAAAGUUAGGUACGGAAACUUAUGGUUGCAUUUAAAAUAUGACGGAUGUAGUAGUUGGUAAUAAUUUGGAUAAGCUAGGAAACUCAGCUUCUUCUAGUUUCUAAUUCAUUUUAUGAAUUCUACAACUAUAAUUUCUUAAAAUCUAAAUAAGAACCUAAAUUGUUUAAGAGAGCCUCUAGCAGCUGAGGAUUUUAGAAGAAACUGCAGCUACGAAAACUUCUGCAAACAUACCCUCUCAGUCCGGUCUUAGUCUCCGGUCUUACUCCGGUCUGAUCGGGCUGGUUCGGCCGGCUCGGUUCAGUGAGCUGGUGAUUAGUAUACUAGUAGGAUUAAUAUAUACAGUGAUAAGCAUUGUUUGAGUGGUAAAGUGGUUUGGCUAAUUGGCUCGUAUGGUCGCAUCUGGUUUGUGGUUUGUGAAAGUGUCAACUGGGCAAAGGAUAGUCUCAUCAGAUGCUGGCGAGUUUGGCGGUCGUUUUCACGUGACUUGUGACGGUGGUGGUGUUGCGUGGUAGCAACAGCUGGUUGAUCCUUUUUUUGUUACUAGUUUGGCUAAUAGUGGAUUUUAUUUAAUCUCUGGUUUCUUUAUUAAAAAAACUUUUAAGCUCUGAAGGGGUCAAUAUCGUUUGAGUGCCUAUUUACUUUGAUCAGCGGAGGCUCAUAAUUUGCGGUAACUGGUGCUCUCUUUGUACAGCUUUAAAUUCAAAAAAAUUUUGAGUUAGAUUUUCCUAAGAGCAAGUACUAGAAGCCUCUAAACACAAGCCCAAUAUAUCAUGUAAACUUAGAUAAUAACGUGGAGGAGAGAAAAAGAAUAGAGAGAUGACUAGAGUAUCCACUUCUUAUGCAAGGAACAACCUCCAUAGAAACUCUAAAAAUAAUAGAGAAAGAGAUAAAUUGAUUGGUGAAAAAUAUAUUGGGACUAGUGUCCUACAGGCAAUAUACUGUAUAUGUUAGUUUUUAAAUUUAAGAGUAUAUAAUAUCGAUAAAUAAGAGCUGAUCACUGCCUCUACUAUAAAACUUGAUCUAACUUAAUAAAUCCAUAGAUCUAGAACUAUGAUUACGUUGAUAACAUUUGAAUAAAACAUUCUGCUUUCAUUUCAAAUGAAAUUUAAAAUUUUAAAUAUCUAUAACAUGCAAACUUAUUUUUUUCUGUGGAUCUGAGAUAUGAAUCUAUACCAAACAUGAUAUAGGUAGCCGAAUGUCCAUGAUAUUUACUAUAACUAAAACCUUGAAUGUUCAUGCCAAGUGUAAGAACAUCUUUAGACCUUUUCAACUCUGUUCAUACCGUUUUAUAUAUAGAUACUCGCACACAAUUUGCGUUUUUAAUAGUAUUUUACUCACAUUAGGGAUUAGGGAUUUAUGGUUAGUCUUUGUCUAUUAUGCAAAGAAUGUGUUAGAGAACGCAUAUCCAUGUUACAUGUGCGUAUUAUUAUAAAAAAAACUUUAGUCAUUUCAUUUUUUUUAAAUCCCCGUUUGCUCUUUCCAAAUAAAUGCUUCUACUCAUUUAUUGGAAACAAAUGCUAAUUCUGUCACAAAUUAGAAUAACUCAUUUUCCCGAUGCAGUAUAAAAAUGAUGCGCUUAUUUACUGGGGUUAUUUUCUUCAUUUUUUUAAACAACUAUGCGCAUGUAAAAAGAUAAAAAGAGAUUUAUUUAACGUGCAGUCCAUUACUUCAGUGGGCCGCGUUCUGCGCGAGAAAAGGAUUGGAAAAAGUACACCGAAGGUCCCUCAACUUGGCAAUGGGAUACAAAACAUCCUUGAACCGUAAAACCAAAUAUGCUGGGUCCGUUAACUAUACAAAACUAGUCAUCAGAGGCCCUUCCGCGGUUUUUAUCCGUGUUUUAGUCUACUUGACGGCUGAGUCAGCGUGGGACCUACGUGGACCCCACAUAUCAGCUGGGCACGUCAUCACCCUCUCCCUUUCUCCUCUCUCUCUCUCUCUCACUCUUCUCUUAUCUUCUGGCGACUGGGCAAGCCGGCCGGAGGCGACGGCGCAGGGCGGCCCAAGGGGCACCUCUUCAACCGGGCGCCGUCGCCGCACCAGAAUGGCGGCCAGAGCAGGCGAAGCGGCGACGGUGGCGGGCGAGCACGGUUGCGGAGAGGCGGCGUCGGCGGGCGAGAGCGGUGCGGCAUCGGCGGGCUGGAACGAUGCGACGUCGGCAGGCGAGAGCGGUGGCGGCGGAGGGAGCGUGCCUGCUCAUUGGCGACGUCACGGGCGCGCAGCUCCCGGAUCUCGUCCUCCCACCUCUCCACCCUCUCCUCUCCUUGUGGAUCCUGCACACGCCAAAUUCACAAACAAACCAGAUUGCAUCGAUUGAUUAUGCUGCUCGUCAUCAAGCAACCAACCAAACCAAUUAUUUUAUUAGCGGGUGUGUGUGUCCAUGGCCAUGGCUAUGGAUGGUGGUCUUACGAGCAGAGGCGAUCCUCGAAGUCGGCGGCGAGGUUCUUGAACAGCUCAUGCCCCGCCUCCAGCAUCUCCGACACCUGCAUUGGCAUUGCAAUCUCAUCGAUCGAUGAAAAAUUCAGAAUGACAAAUAGCGAAAUCAAUGAAUGGAGAGAGGUGGACCUGGCGAGUGAAGGCGUCAAUGGCGAGGAGGAUGCGCUGCACGUGCUCCUCCGUCUCCGCCGACGCCGCCACCACCUCCUCCUCCUCGGCGACGGCCAUGUCGUCCUCCGUCUCCGUCAUGGGCCCGGUGGUGAUGUUGACGGCGACCCCGGAGGAGGCCGCCACUCCCCCUCCCGCGCUCCCCUGGCUCAACCAUCUCCUCCUCUCCCUGUCCUCCGUUGCCCUGCACGCAUCCAUCCAUCCAUCCAUCCCAAAACUCAGAUCAGAUUGAGCCAUCAAAUUUUCGACCCAAAUCAAAAAUCAAAUGCGCCUCAACAACUGAACUGAUUGAGACAGUAGAUGAAAUGGAACAAGUCGAUCGGAACGGAAUCGCGUGGCCUUGGUUCGAUCAAAGCAACGAACGCAGCUGACGACCGAAUCCAAUCCCCCAGAACGAACGCAGCUGCAUGGACUCGCGGACCACGACCGCCGCCGCCUCUGCUCCAUCGAUUCCCGGGUGCACUCGCCGCCAACACCUCACCCGCCGCCAACCACGACCGCGCGGCCAGCCCAGCCCCGCGUGAGCGCCGCAUCCACGACCGCCUGCCGCUGGUCUCCCGCGCGGUCCGCCGCCUGCGCCAUCCUUUCCCCAUGCCGGAGAGUGUGAUCGGGGAGGACGAGCCCGCCACCGCGUUCACCCGCCGCCGCCGCCUCGCCCUUCCGCCACCCUCCCCUUCUCCCGUGCUGCAUCGUCGGCCGUCGGAGAGAAGAGUGUGUGAGAGAGAGAAACAGCAGAAAAGGGAGAGGAGGGAAAAGAUAUACUGACAUGUGGGACCCACGUGGGUCCCACGCUAACUCAGCCACCACGUAGGCCAAAUCCGGGAUCAAAACCGCCGAAGCACCUCUGGUUCUGUACAGUUAAGAGACCCUGUAUAUCUGGUUUUGCGGUUAAGAUGUUUUUUUAUCCCGUUGACAAGUUGAGGGACCUUCGGUGUACUUUUCCCAAAAGGAUUCGGCGAGAAAAACAAGAGUUCGUAGGCCCAUCAGCCCAUCCCAUGAGCCCACCUAGAAAAAAAAAACCCUAAAACACGCCUGCCGUUUUGAUCGGCCCAAGCCACCAUCGCCAGCCAACCACAGACUAGAGGAGAAGGAACACUUCGCCGGCGACGGCGGCGGCGGCGGCAUGGCCUUCUGGCAGGCGCGGGACUUCCUCUUCUGCGGCGUGUGCGGCACCCUCCUCAAAUUCGACUCCGUCCGCUCCGCCUCCUGCCCCCUCUGCGGCUUCAAGCGCAAGGCCAAAGGUCGUCGUCUUCCCCAUCUCUCUCCCUGCAAAGCCCUGGGCUGUGUUCUUCUUGCGGCUGAUGCCUUCGUUCUCUUUUUUUACGGCGCAGAUAUCGAAGGGAAGGAGACGCGGUACACGGUCACGGCUGAGGUGCGGCCGAUUGCUCUACCCUCUAGCUCGCGCGAAACCCUGGGCUCGUCUGUUUCAGUCGCGACCGAUUUUGUUUCCCCUCAAGUAUCUAAAAUCCAUAAUGCGAUUCAUUCAGUGUAGUAAUCCUAGGAGAUAUAGUUUAGUUUGAUUUACGCGAGGAGUAUAUAUGGUUGUGCGGUGGAGCAAUCCAGUCUUGUGGUUUAGGUAAAAGGACGGUUUCACUGUGUCGUGCUUCAGUAUCGUAUUUCAUAUAGAGGAAUGGCUUGGUGAUUAUUGAAUCUACAUGGCAGUGCACUUUAGUAGAUUUUUAGUUUUACAAAUAUCCAUGCUGCCUUCCUUGGGAUAAUGCAAUGCAUCUCUUGGGAGCUACUCCCUCUGUUCCAAAAUAUAAGGAUUUCUAGGUUGUUUAGCAAGUACUCUACUAAGAUUAGGUCAAAAGAUUUUUUUUUUCUUUAUUCAUUGCAGUUGUCAAUUUUUGAACUUUGAUUUUCUUAGAUUCCCUUCUGAAGCAUCUGAUUGGCUCUGCGAUCAUUGAAGUGAUGGGAAUCAGUGCAGAAAUGCUUAUAUUGUGGUACAACAUUUGAAUCCUAGAAAUCCUUAUAUUUUGAAACGGAGGGAGUAUUGGUCUGAGAUUUUAUUUUAUGUGCUGAGAUGACUCAAAUGGCAAUAUCCUCAUGCUUUCACAUGCAUGAAUCAACUGUGGUAAUGGAAUAGUAUGAGUUGUAGGCAAACAUCUUAUGGAGCAGCAAGGUAAGAUGUAUAGUGAUUUUCUGGCUUGGCAUUUGUAGGCUACUCUGAGUCUCUGAUUAAGUCCUAUGCUCCAUACUUGUACACUUCUAGUACUUAACAAAGACAUAGCACCUAAAAGGUGCCAAAUGAACAUUUUAAUUUUAUGGACCACAGGUCCUGCCUUUUUAAUGAACUGUGCGGUUUCUUGAAUCUUGUCCCAACCAUUUAUAUCAGAUAUGAAAGAAGAUUUCCAUGGCUAUUUAUAUGUAGUUGACAUUUUGCAUGCUGUUGACAGGAUAUUAGAAGAGAGCUAAAACUUGAUCCAUAUGUGAUUCUUGAAACAACACUGAAGGAGGAAGACGUAAUUGUCGAAAGAGCUACAGUAAGUUAAGCUUUUUCAUCAAUAUAUAGUCUGAUAGUAUUUUGUAGUUCUGCACAUAUUCAUAAAUCCUUUUCUGCAUUAGGUAAAUAAAGAGUGUGAAAAAUGCAAAAAUCCUGAACUUCAGUAUUACACCAAGCAGGUCAGCUAUCGAUCCUUGAACAUUUGAUGUUCAAUAAGCUUAAUUUUCCUUUUUCUAGCUUUGAUGCUUAACUACUUUAUGAAAAAUGUGUAAUUGCAGUUACGGUCAGCAGAUGAGGGGCAAACUGUUUUCUAUAAGUGCGCAAACUGCAGGCAUGAGUUCAAUGAGAACCAGUAGUCACCUUAGAAUGAGCUUUUUGAUCACUUCUACGAUUGUGGUCUAAAAAAUGGCCAUGCUUUGACAUGACAAGUGAUUUUGAAAUAUUUUUUUUAUGCCUUUGCUUGAAUUAUGACAAGUAAUGGUGUGUUCGGGAGAAGGGUUUAGGAACCUCUUCCCCGUGCAUGGAAAACGGGGUGGCUUAUUAGUGCAUUAUUAAUUAAGUACUUUAACGCAUGGUUUAGCAGUUUGCCAAAAACAUUGUAUGUGCUUGGAAAACGAGGGAGAAGAAGUUGGUAAAGUGUAGUAUAGAACAUACCCUAAAGAAUCACAUUACUUUGGGCCACAUGUCCAAUCCUCAAUCAUGCUGUUUUUCGCGGGUGCUAAUUGCACAUAACCGAAGUGUUUCUGUUUUCUAAAGAUUAUUAACCUGAAACUGCAUUUUGGACCUUACGGUGCUCAUAUGAGCUCUCUUACUUCCCUCAAAUCCUUUAUGCCCUCAACCUAUGCCAUUUCAACCUGUUCCAUAAAUCAUACAUGUUCAGCUUCUAGGAGAUAUGGCAUUGUUUGCUAACUGCAAAAAUGAAAAGGUGUAUAAGAAAGGCUCGUAUGGUUUGAGGGGUGUACUCUUGUCAGCACCAGGAUUCCAAAUUUUGCGAUAAAUGGGUGCGUAUCAGUAGCGCUGUGACUCCCGGUAAGAGCUCAUCUUGAGAGGUUUUCUGUUGUCGUUUCAAAUCAUUUUCUGUUGGGACUUUCAGGUUAUGACCAAGUUAUCAAAUCCAGUGAUUAGUUUUUUUAAGGAGAAUUUUUUCUUAACUAGUUCGAGAUGAAGCUGGGACAAAUUCGCAGUCCCAAUUCCUGGUCUAAUGGUCUAUAUGAAUUUCUGGCUAUCUUGUUCUUGAGCUCGAGACUGCAGCUUGUUUGGUUCACGUUCUGGUUGCUCAUGCCGUGCCGAGCACUCGUGCUACCUCCGUCCCAAAAUAAGUGCAGCCAUUGAUAUUCGUGCCCAAUAUUUGACCGUCCGUCUUAUUUGAAAAUUUUAAAAAUAUUUAGUCACAAAGUACUAUUCAUGUUUUAUCAUCUAAUAGCAAUAAAAAUACUAAUUAUAAAAAAAAUUUAAAUAAGGCAAACGGUUAAACAUUAAACGUGAAUAGUAUAAAAUUGCACUUAUUUUGGAACGGAGGGAGUAGUAUUAGCUAAAGCUGAUUGUGGUAAAGAGCCAAAGAGGUCAGAUGAGCAGUCAUGCUCAUGCGUGAUCAGAAUUCAGAAGGAUUUGAAAUCCUUUGCUCAGUUUGUUCCCCUUUUCCCAACUCCUAUUUCUCGUUUUCCGCGCGCACGCUUUUCAAACUGCUAUUUUGGUGCGUUUUUUUUAAAAGUUUCUAUAUGAAAGUUGUUUAAAAAAAAUCAUAUUAUUCUAUUUUUUUAAAAAAACUAAUAACUAAAUAAUCACGUGCUAAUUGAUUGCUAUGUUUUUCGCGCGGAGGAGUUUGGUUCCCAACCAUCCGAAACGAACACAAGGUCCGCAAAAUGAACACUUGUACACUAAAAUUUUGGCGAGGCAUACUCAUUUCAGAUUGCCGUAGGGAUGCGAAAUGCAUCGCGAGACCCAGCAUUUGUGUACGUGUAUGAGAAUCUCCUACGUGGAUGGUCACUGUGAAAGGCCUUAGAGGCAAGGGGUUGUAUGUCAGUUUUUUACUUGCAACGUUUAACCACUUGUUUUAUUUAAAUUCUUUUUGCAAAUAUAAAAAACGAAAAAUUGUGCUUAAAGUACUUUAGAUAAUCAAGUAAGUCACAAAUAAAAUAAUUAAUAAUUUCAAAAAAAUUUAAAUAAGACAAGUUGUCAAACGUUGCAAGCAAAAACUCAAAAUCCCUUAUAUUAUUAUAUGACAGAGGGAGUAGUAGCAAACCUACAUUAUACAUAUUACCUCAUAAUUUAUUGGUUGUUAACAGGAAUGAAAUUAGACGUAAUAGCCACCUCCACUGCAAAACUUAGGCAUUCACCAUUCUCUACGAGAAAAGAACUCAAGACCGCGCAGUCUCCCGAGUUCCCUCGAUUGGUAAAGAUACAGUGAAUCCAUUGACUAACCAAGCGAACCAAACAGAGCAGUAUACUUGCCCCGAGAAAAUUUGAGCACUGCUAUUUAACCAGAUUUAUACCCAGUGAAUGGUAUUUUGAAGUGUUGAUAGUUCCGAGUACAGGGAUACCUCCGAGAUGACAGGAACUUCAUUCGGUCAUUCCCAAUCACAUGCCACAAUGAAAAAUUGCUCAGACCAUCUACAUCUUCAAGGGUUCUAUUUGCAUACAGUAACCUUGACCAAAUCUUGGUGGCACCCAAGGCCGAUGAAGUGCGGUAAGAGAAGGGAAAAAAACAGCGCUCCUAGGUGACGCAUUCCAACUUAUGGUCAAGGAUGUUUCAUCGAUGAUGACACGGGAAUUGUUCGAAAACAAGCAACAUCAAAACUGUACUCGGCUCCGCGAAAUGUAGGAACAACCUCAAUAGGAACAAGCCCAUGCCUCACACUUUCAUCUGCAACAUUUGUAGUUACUACUGGAUUAAACCAUGAAACAGCAUCACAAUAUGACAUUUGACUGCUCAUAGAAGAACUGGAAAUACUUACAUGUACAAGAUCUACACCACGCGAGCACCUUGUAAAUUGUUUGGUUACUUCAAAUGAAUAAAUUCCGAUAUAACACGAACUGCUACGUCUCAGAUUUCGUUGGUGGAUCAUCCUUCAAUCCUUUGGUGAGCAAAUCGUAAUUGAUAGAGACAAGUUGUGAUAGAUUCUGCAGCAAAAGAAGUUAGAACGGUGUGCAGAAUAUAGGCACAAAUGGGCUAACAAUAAGUUUUCUACCCCUACUUUUAAGGAUUGAUACUGUCAAUGAAACGUGACAAUCACAAAUUUAAUGAGAAUAAAAAAGAAUAUGUAUUUGUUUUGUUGGACUGCUAGACACUAAGAACUUUGGUUUGUCUUUGUCGACACUUUGCCCAAUUCCUUUUUUCCACUCAUUGUCUCGCUGGCCCACAUGUCAGUGAGCCAUCAGUGAUAAAAUAUUCAGUGGAUUUUUAGAUUAUGUAUCACAAGGAUCUAGGUGCUAUUUUAUAAUGAACAUUGUACUAUCGUUUACUGUGUGGAACAAUUUUGCCACAUUCAAGGGAAUCAUCAAACUACAUUUUACAAAGCACGUGCUUGUGAAGUUGUGAGCAUAUAAGUUGACUGACGGAUUACUAGUAUGAUUCAUACCAAUAGCAUUAAAUAUCUAGCGAAGUUAUUCCAAUGGUUUGAGCUAUAUUACAGUACUGUGUCUAGCGAAGUAGAGAUGUGACUACUAUGAUUUGAAGCAUAUUGUAACUGAAAAAGGUGUUAUUACUGCUUGGUAAUGCAAAUACUGAGGACCUGUUCGUGAGUAAAUACAAGGGAAAUGUAAGGAGCUGUGGGUAAACUUUUCUGCCCGUAAGUGAAGGACAUGCAUUACACAUUACACGUUCAUUUUAAAAAAGGAUCCAUCAUGGUUACUCAUGCUUCAAUCAAUCACAUUAUGAACAUGAAACAAAAUAGGUGGACUGUGAAGCCGUAGGCUUACUUUGACUGAGAAAUUGUAAAGAAAAAAAGGAAUAGGUUAUCCACCGUGAUAACACCAUCAUGCUUCAAUUAUUUUAAGGAUAUAAAUAUGUGAAACUGUAGGAUUACCUUGAAUGAGAAAUUGCUGAAAGAAUAGUUGACAUUUGAGCUAGAUUCAAACUCAGUGAAGCCACUAGACUCAUCCCCCUAUUUGCACAAUUUGCACAAUUGUUUAGUAAAAUGACUGAAGAAUAAAAAGGCAGACAAACAAAUUGUAGUUUUCUUUUCCUCUACUUAUAUAAAUGCUGAUGAUUCAUACCAUAUCAUCUUGGUGAUUGCUCACACAGCUACUGCUGCCACUAAGGCUUCCAUUAUCACUGGAAUCCUCAAAUUCGUAUGCUUCAUAGAUGUUUUCGUCCGAUGGAUUCCAAGAAUAACGGCUGGUGAAGUAGCUCGUGUCAAAUGCACUAUCUGAGGAGGGGACAAAGGCAGCCUGCAUAUGAUUCCGUGUUAUCCUCGGUACACCUUUACAAUGGAGAUGCAACUAUGUUUAAAGAAUAAAUAGUUAACCAUAUCCCACCUUUUGCCUAGCAAGGGUAUCCCAGCUAAUGUCUUUAAAAAAUUGAUGCUGCUUAACCUGAAGGGAAUAGGAUUAUAAGCAUCAAUCAUUUAUGUAUCAUAAGAAGUUUUGAAUAAUCCAUACAACGGAUGAAGGUUUCUAAAACCCUCAAAAGUCAAAAUACCUCAGAGGCGCCAUUUGCACCUAGCCGUUGGUGAGGGUCUUCUGUCAAUAAUCUGGGUAAAGCAGUCAUAAUAUCACAUUAGUUACAUAAAAAACAUAACCACAAUAAACUUCACAAAGGAUUUUGAAAUUGAGCAUGAAGUAGAUAGGGAGUAUUGUAAUAAUAUGCUUAAAUUGCAUGCGUAAAGAUUCCAAAAAUACAAAUCAUAUUGAAUAGUUCUACCUUUGAGCAAACAGAUGCUAUAAACCAUAGAACACAACUGAACACAUAUAAUAUAGCAGUGUGCUACUGUUACCCUAUAAGCUGAAACUGGAAAAAAGAUAGGGACUGACCUAUGGCAAUAUAAAAUAUAGCGAGUACCAAGUUAUCAAGCAAGAAAAUGUAAUAUUUUAGAGCAGAUGUGUCCCUGCCUAGUUUGACCCAAAAUCCUAAUUAACCCCAACAUUCAUUUGUGUUAUUUGGAACCUGAAUAAUACAGCUAACAAUCUGACGUACAUUAAUUCACAAUGCUGAUACGAGCAACUUUUGGGUGGUGAUUUUACAGUACAAAUGAGGGAGCUCACUUCAAUUGUUAUUGAUGGUGAUGAUCAUGGCAAAAACCCUAUUGACUUUAGUAUAGAAAUUUCAUGCUUGUCAUUGGGAUAACACAAAGGAAAAUGCAGUAUAAAGACAACAAUUUAUUAUAUAAUUGGUCCAUUGACCCUAAAAGUGACGUAAAAGCUGUGCAAUCUAGCAUAAUCAUCUAUCACAUUAAAACUUGGAAGCAAGAAAUAGUAACAUGCAAUCCUGUAAGACUGAAACAUGAGUUACUGUGUAUUCAGAAUACUCGAAACAUUUCUUACUUGUCAAUUAGAUCCUGAGCUUCAGAACUCAUCUCUUCUGGGACAUGUGGCCAAGGUAUUUUGCGGUUCAGAAUGUUGUCGAAAAUUGUCUACACCAAAUACAACAAGAAUGUCAAGUUGCCACAGUUUCAAUACAGCAAAAAACAACAUUGACUUAUAUAGCGACAUUUUGCAUUAAAUAGAUGAAAACCCAUGUGUUUUCUAGCAGACCAAAACCCAUGUAUUUUCUAGAAGACCUCUUUCUCUCAUAUUCUCAAGAGAUCUGAACGGGAGCUUUGCAUGCUUAAUGAAAGAACUUUACUCAACGUCACAUAAAUGGCAGAGAAAUAUUCAGUACAUGAAAGUCUGAUACCUGGGGGUGUUCUGCGUUGAAUGGAGGUAUUCCAACAAUUAAUUCAAAAAGUAUAACACCCACAGACCACCAAUCAGCACUAGUACCUGCAAGGACAAUCAGUACUCAAGAGAGUCAAAACGAGAAGACAAUGCAGAGGUUGAAAGAAAACUAUGUCGGGCAUUUUACCAUGUCCUGUCCCCAAAAGGAUUUCCGGUGCUAAAUAAUCAGGAGUUCCGACAGCAGAGCGCUUUUGUCUCCGUGCUCGGUGAUCCAUUUCCUCAAAUUCGCUCAUCUGAGGUUCAUCAUCUCCAUACAACGAAGACCCGCUAACAGCAGGACCAGAUAGAUCAUCCGUGCUGUUGAUCAGACCAACCUUGGACAACCCAAAAUCUGUCAACUGGAGAAUUAAGAUUGAUAAGCAGGACAUAUAGAAGGCAUUAAAAAGGAACAUAUUCGAAAAAGAACGAAAACAAUAUUUAUUGCUGAAUUACAGGUUAAAUGAAAUGAAAACUCAGAAGGAAAUAUGUGUAGCAUUAUCAUCAAUUCAUUAAGAUAUGGAUUCACUUAAUUAGAAAAGAGCUAGCUGAAAUCAGCAUAUAUUUGAUUUAUGUGGAAACCAACAUGUCAUGACAUGAAAGUUUUUAUGCAUUGCCUGAUUGUCAUGUGGGGACGUCACUACUCACUAAGUCCGGCGCCGGCGACGACAGCAAGAUACGGAACAGUAGUUUGUUAGCAUCCUUUUUCUUAGCUAAAUUGGUUUGUUAGUUUAGCCCUAUGAUUUGUUAUGAUCUUAUCUCUUAGAUGGGUAUAUUAAGCUGUAAGGAAGUUGAUUAAUGCAAGCAGAAUUUGAGAUCAAUCUCAUUUCAUUGUUCCUGCCUCAAGGGCGCGUCGCGGAUCACGGCACCGCCGCGCCGUCGAGGUCCAGGGCCACGUCCGAUCACCUCUUUCAAAUACAAUCUUCGCCGAGUUCCUCCUUCCAAUUUGCUAACUCGUGACAUUGAUACAACACAGUUUGAAACCUCAAAAAGUUUCAAAACUCCAAAAACUGAUUCUCCUCAGAACUCUCAUAGGAUAUGUGUUUAUUUUAUCUCUCACUAGAUGAUGCCAUUGUGGCAAUUGCUAUGAACUGCUACAUCACUAUCUCAUUUGGUUGCUGGAACCAAAAAUAGGAAUAUAUCUUCUAGUCAUCAGAGAACAGAAAAGCGCUUACCUUUGAGAGGCAUGUGAAUGAUUUUUUAGUUUAUCAUGUACUCCCUCCUUCCAAAAGUCUAAGUCCUAUUUCAUUCUUUGGUUUUUCCAAAAGUCUAAGUCCUAUUUGUAGUCAUUAUAUGCUAUAUUAAUUUUUUUAUCGGAACCCAAGAAGUCAUUUUAGUACUUUAUAGGUUGCAUGUUCAUUGGUUUUGUCACAUGAUGAAUGAGUUAACUACAUAUUGGUCUUGGUGCAAAAAGAAAUAGGACUUAGACUUUUGGAAGGAGGGAGUAUCUAACAUUGAACAUAAAACAAGAAAAAUGGAGAGAAAACUUAACGAUCAUGCGCACACAUAAAUACCUUUAUAUGCCCGUCAUGAGCUAUCAAUAAGUUGUCAGGUUUAAGAUCUCUAUGAACUAUGUGCAUAGAGUGCAAAUAUUCCAAAGCUAGCACCUGCAGAAUAAAAUGAUUAUCAGACAAAGGAAAAGUGAAAAUGGAAGAAAUAAAUUGUUAGUAAAAGAAACUUACAACUUCUGCAAGGUAUAUACGAGCAACAUCUUCAUCCAAGCACCCUAAAUUUCUCAGUAGAGAAUACAGGUCCCCUCCAUUCAGGUACUCCAUGACUAGAUACAAAUUUUCCCGGGAGGUAAAAGAAUAGAAGAAACGAACCUUAAAAGAACAUAACCAAUUCAGAACCACAGUAUAGCUUUCAAUGAUGAAGGGUCGCAUUUGCAAGUUCACUCACCACAAAAGGAUUCCUCACUGUAAUCAAGAUAUCACGUUCAGCCAAUAUACUCUCAACAGCAUUUUUCCGAAUCAUAUCUGCCUUCCUUAAUACCUGUUUCAAAAGUAAGCAACUAUUGUUAGACCACAUGGAUGCCCCAUCCAUCCCAAACCGAAAAACAAAAGCUAAUAAUAAAGGGAGUUUAGCAGUCAAGCCCCCAAACUAUUGCUUUACAUCUUAGAGCUAUCAUGCUGAGCAGAGGCAAGGUGUUGUGUGCUCAGCAAAACCAAAAUUACUAUACCAAUUUAUCAUUACUUCCUUUUUUGUGAGGAGUCAAUUCAUCAUUCAUGUGAACUAAAGUCACUUCAAUCUAAAACCUAUGAUGGUCAAGUUGUCACAAGUAAAGCAUGAACAUGAUGGGCCGCUCCACUGUCAUUCUGAUCCCAUUUUUAUAAGUAAGCUAUGACUAUCAAGGAGACUAAUGCAGGUAAAAAUAACUACUUAGAGUCCAAUAUCAUGUCCAGUCUACACCAUAGUCUAGAAAACAAAAACUACCAAACCAAACAGGCAAACACACCAUCAAAAUUUUGCCACUACCAAAACUUUGGCAUUGCCCAUAUAUUUGUCUCUUGUUGGCACAAAUUGGCACCAAACCAAACCUACCAACUCUACCCUACCAAAAUGUGAUAGUGCCAAAAGUUGCCAAAGAUACGGCAUUACCAAACUUUUGGUAGGGUAUCGAACCAAAAUGUGAUAGUGCCAAAACAGCAUAAUGAUUUAACGGGAGCAACUAAAUGGAUCCCAUUGGAACCGACUCCAUAUUAGUUAACUUUUUAAAAGCAAACAGUCAUAUAAUUUUAACAUAUCCUGUAAUCACAUAAGUUACUUAUCUAACAAGACGCAGAUUUGAUUAAAAAACAAGGGAUGCCUAACUAAUGAAAUCGAGUGCAGUUUCUUUCUCGAAUGAAUUUUAGAACAAGUGAUAUAAUUCGUAACAUUGACCACAUGUACCAAAUGAACCAGCGGAACAAGUGGUACAGCCAGGUUUUUGUAGUAUGGAUAGUGUACUACAGUACUAUAAAUAUGAAGAGGUGUACUACAAAUAUGAAGAUGUGUACUAUAAACAUCAAGGUGUUAAUCUUUUUUGUGGUCAACUAGUCAAACUGGGAGCAAAUUAAAAAAGCAAACGCGAGAAAUACCAUCUCUCUAAUCUUCCUUCUCUGAACAUUGAAGGUCCACAGGUAUUUCCUUUCUUUUGCAAAAGUUUUCAAUCCAAUAAUUUGACCAUGUCAUGUUGAUCACAAGGGGUCCUUGAUAAUAAAUAAUGAAUGACUUCCAGCUGGUGGUUCUCAUAGAAAUGUGUUGUUUAGAAAGGUAUGCAUAAAUGUACGAAAAACCUCAAGGCCCUUUCUAAAGUAUCAUUGCAAUAAUAUCACAAUGGCAGGGGUUAUCAACUGAACAAAACUACCGCCGAGUAUCGACAAGAACAAAUAUUCUUGAGUGUGUUUUAUUGAGUUUUGGGGAAGAAGACUGGCAAGUCAACAUAUUUACAUCAAAAGCAAUUUCCUUUCCCCUUUUUUGCAUGCUAAAAUUCUGGUUUGCGUCUGAAAGAUAGUCAUAUAGCAAUAUUUUUGGUUUUUGGUCAAGAAUGCCUACAACAUUACAGGUACAACCAAGGAAAGCAAGUCUGGGUACAUAAGGGAACAAAUAUAUGGCAACAAAUACCUUUAUAGCAAAGAGGUCUCCUGUAGUUCUUUUCUUGGCCAAGAAAACACGUCCAAAUGCUCCACGGCUGAUAGGUUUAAUGAUUUCGAAGUCAUCAAUCGAAGUACGAUCCUUGACUGGGUGAACAGGACUAGCUCGUAAGCUACGGACAACAUCAUCUUCUUCAUCCAUUACAGUACUCGCUGAAUCAACUUUGUCCAUAUCAACCGAAUCACAAAGCAGUAGGUACUUCUCCCUAAGAAAUUAUAUAAAUGUGAAGGGAAAUUACAAAUGGAAACUAAUAUAAGUGCUAAAAGUGACCUGCAAGAAUUAUUUUCAUGUGCUUAUUUAGUAUAAUGUCAACUAAGAUAAGCCACUUGUGUAGUGAACUCAGCAGAGACUCACCGGUGGAGUUUUUCUAUACGUGUGCCAAAUGUCUGCACCGUGAGAGCCUCAUGCUUCCUACGAUUGACAAUUUCUUGCAGAUCUUCUAUGCAGGUAACCAAUAGGGAGAGUGCCCUUUCUUCAUCUAGAGGAGUAGUUGCAAUGCACCGCGCAAUAUCAGCAAGUUCAACAAUCUGCACAGAUUGAAGGACACUGUUAAUCAGCACUUCUUGCAUUAUAUUACAUUACAAAAUCAUUUACUACUGGUAGAUGAUGCAUAGUGAUCCUAACCUAGAUUAUUAUAUGGUAAAUACCACACUGAGGACCAGUGUGAAGGGGGGAGUCCGCUUGGAAAGGGAGGUAAACAUGACAGGAGUGAACUUUUUAAUCUUUCUUCUUGCUUAAUUCUUAAAAGAAAACAAAUCCCCUUGAGCUCCCAAAGGUGCAGCUAAGACAUUGGAGAUAGUAGAUGCCAUCUAAUCAGCACCAUCUCUAGGUAUACUUGGUAACAAAGCAAACUAACCAACUAACAGCAUCUCUAAUGAAGGGCUUGAUUGGUAUAGCUUGCUGCAGCUGCAGCUGUAACUACAGUACCAAUAACAGGUUUUGUGAUGAAGCUGCUAUAGUGCUGCGGCUGUGCAGCAGCAGCAAAGCUGAACCAAUCCGGCCCGACAUCUAACGUGUGGCAGUGGCAGCUAAGCCCACAAUCAUACAUGGCACAUUCGUUCCAGCCACCCAACCAUCAUAUAUACGCAUGACACAGUGGUUGAUUGGAAAAAUAGUGGCAUUAUUACCAUUCCUUUUCAACAAACGUAUUCUGCACAAGAGAAACUAAAUUUUCAUAAACAAACAAAAUAUUUUACCAUGGCCAUAGCUUUGCUCACUUUGCACAUUGUACCUUGUACAAAAAUAAACACCGACUAUUUUCUAUAGUUUAGCCUAGCAAAAUAAUCAACUAUCUAAUAUAUGUAUGUGUGAUUGAGAGAGCUUACCUGAGGAAGAUCAUCGCUCUCAUUAAUUGCACUUCGGCCAGCUAAAAGCAUGUCUAUGUGAUUAGAUCUUGGAGUUGUUAGUGGAGAUCUAGGGGUCAUACUUCCUGCUGAAGAUGUAGCCAUUCCAUGAUCAGAUUUUGGCCCAAAACGAGUCUUACAUGUCAUGGAAGGAAGGUUUUUUAUGUCAUCCAGUGAAAUAGUGCUAUCAGCCUCCUGGAGGUAGUCAAGCAUAUCAGCUGAGCCUCUUCUAGACCAAUCAGAGAGUUUUGGAGAGGGGCCAUCAGAUUCUUCAUUGAUGCUUGAAUUUGAUACUUUUGCAACAUCUGGACUGCCAACAGCAUUUGGAAGGUCUUUUUGUGUAUAAGAUUCUACCAACUUUUCAAGUGCUUCAGCAACUCUAAUUAGACGUUCAUCAACGCUUACACCUUUUUGAUCACAUCUGUCAGCACUUGCACAUAUUGCUGAGUGAUUUUCUACAUAAUGAGUAGGGACAUAUUCUUCACAUAUGCGACACAUUAUUGAACCUUCUUCAGAAAUAUUUGGCUGGUCAGACCAGUGACCCCAUGAAGUUUUGUGUUGAUGCUUGGGAGGAAGAGAUUGAUGUGAUGUAGAUUCCACUGGACUGUUCAAUUCAGCCUGGCUACUAACUGCAGGGGGUGUAUCUGUUUUCUUAUUAGGUGAUUCCUCUUUAAUAGGGGUAGGGUCUUUAGGGGGUUUUGGGACAGGUGAUGGAAAAGGUUUCCAGGAAGAUAUACGCUCCCUGGUUGGAGACUCAACCUCC
This 38934-nucleotide long non-coding RNA is filed under the name Oryza sativa (Asian cultivated rice). RNAcentral's name for it is "long non-coding RNA (OSAT_LNC000628)". The stretch from base 28660 to 28852 matches the Rfam family "MIR812 microRNA precursor family". The record is from RNAcentral. Lineage: Eukaryota; Viridiplantae; Streptophyta; Magnoliopsida; Poales; Poaceae.